AUGAACGCUGGCGGCGUGCCUAAUACAUGCAAGUCGAGCGCACGGACGAGAAGCUUGCUUUUCUGAUGUUAGCGGCGGACGGGUGAGUAACACGUGGAUAACCUACCUAUAAGACUGGGAUAACUUCGGGAAACCGGAGCUAAUACCGGAUAAUAUUUUGAACCGCAUGGUUCAAAAGUGAAAGACGGUCUUGCUGUCACUUAUAGAUGGAUCCGCGCUGCAUUAGCUAGUUGGUAAGGUAACGGCUUACCAAGGCAACGAUGCAUAGCCGACCUGAGAGGGUGAUCGGCCACACUGGAACUGAGACACGGUCCAGACUCCUACGGGAGGCAGCAGUAGGGAAUCUUCCGCAAUGGGCGAAAGCCUGACGGAGCAACGCCGCGUGAGUGAUGAAGGUCUUCGGAUCGUAAAACUCUGUUACUAGGGAAGAACAUAUGUGUAAGUAACUGUGCACAUCUUGACGGUACCUAAUCAGAAAGCCACGGCUAACUACGUG
RNAcentral lists this ribosomal RNA (496 nucleotides) under uncultured bacterium. RNAcentral describes it as "partial 16S ribosomal RNA". It matches the Rfam family "Bacterial small subunit ribosomal RNA", at positions 29 to 507 of the family's 1533-position model. The record is from RNAcentral.